AUGCCAAUAAUAAAUAAUCUACUUGAAGAAGUAUGGGAGGUCGAGCACGUAGAGGAGGAAGUAGGCCCAGAUGGCGCCGGAGACGCCGCCGAAGAAGAAGCCUCCGGUGAACUGGGACCAGCCUUCGGCGGUCUGCAGCUUGUCGGCCUCCUUCUUGCGGCCGGUGAGCGUGAGGGCGGGCGCGGUGGAGGGCGCGCCCUCGUUGAAGGAGGCGACGCCGUACAUGGUGAGGCAGACGCUGAGGAUGGAGACGAGGAGGUAGCCGUGGGCGAGGCCGACCUCGAUGCCACGGAGGAGCGGGCUGACGGCGGUGCGGUACGCGGGAAGGUUGGAGAGGUACCACGCGACGAGGGGGCUGGACGUGACGGGCGUCUCCAGGCUGCCGAUGAAUGGGUCGCCGUUGAUGGGCUGGACCACCUGGUACGUCCCCUGUUUGACACAAGAAUAUGUAUGAGAUACAGGAAGACUUGCAAGUUAGAACAAAGGAAAAGUGUGGUGAAUCGCUUAAUUUUAGCUCUCUCUUGCAUGCAAUUGCAACUGACCUUGUCGGACUUGACGGCCUUGACGACGAAGCGGGGCCUCCUGGUGAGUGAAGCGCCGGACAGUCCCCUCGGCUUGGAGCACACCAAGCCGCUCUUCAUCACCUGGCUUGCCAUCGGAGGAGCAUAUGCAGUAGCCAUCUCGAUCUCCUUCGACUCCCACACGCUCAACUCUGCUCUGCCUGCAGCUAGAAAUGGAUGGAUGUGUUACAGGAAGAAGAUUUGUCCGGAUGGCAAUAUGUUUUAG
This 786-nucleotide ribosomal RNA is filed under the name Triticum aestivum (bread wheat). RNAcentral describes it as "partial small subunit ribosomal RNA". Lineage: Eukaryota; Viridiplantae; Streptophyta; Magnoliopsida; Poales; Poaceae. The record is from RNAcentral.